GGUACUAAUAUCCCAUAACAUCAUGAGGGGCAUCCCUUAUGGUUGAAAACUCCGGUGGUUAUGGAUGGGCAUGCGUUGUAUUAGCUGGUUGGUGAGGUAACGGCUCACCAAGGCGACGAUACAUAGGGGGACUGAGAGGUUAACCCCCCACAUUGGUACUGAGACACGGACCAAACUCCUACGGGAGGCAGCAGUGAGGAAUAUUGGUCAAUGGACGCAAGUCUGAACCAGCCAUGCCGCGUGCAGGAUGACGGCUCUAUGAGUUGUAAACUGCUUUUGUACGAGGGUAAACCCGGAUACGUGUAUCCGGCUGAAAGUAUCGUACGAAUAAGGAUCGGCUAACUCCGUGCCAGCAGCCGCGGUAAUACGGAGGAUUCAAGCGUUAUCCGGAUUUAUUGGGUUUAAAGGGUGCGUAGGCGGUUUGAUAAGUUAGAGGUGAAAUACCGGUGCUUAACACCGGAACUGCCUCUAAUACUGUUGAGCUAGAGAGUAGUUGCGGUAGGCGGAAUGUAUGGUGUAGCGGUGAAAUGCUUAGAGAUCAUACAGAACACCGAUUGCGAAGGCAGCUUACCAAACUAUAUCUGACGUUGAGGCACGAAAGCGUGGGGAGCAAACAGGAUUAGAUACCCUGGUAGUCCACGCAGUAAACGAUGAUAACUCGCUGUCGGCGAUACACAGUCGGUGGCUAAGCGAAAGCGAUAAGUUAUCCACCUGGGGAGUACGUUCGCAAGAAUGAA
This 737-nucleotide ribosomal RNA is filed under the name uncultured bacterium. RNAcentral describes it as "bacterial SSU rRNA". It matches the Rfam family "Bacterial small subunit ribosomal RNA", at positions 159 to 898 of the family's 1533-position model. The record is from RNAcentral.